UACGGAGGGUGCAAGCGUUAUCCGGAUUCACUGGGUUUAAAGGGUGCGUAGGUGGGGCGGUAAGUCAGUGGUGAAAUCUCCGAGCUUAACUUGGAAACUGCCAUUGAUACUAUCACUCUUGAAUAUUGUGGAGGUCAGCGGAAUAUGUCAUGUAGCGGUGAAAUGCUUAGAUAUGACAUAGAACACCAAUUGCGAAGGCAGCUGGCUACGCAUAUAUUGACACUGAGGCACGAAAGCGUGGGGAUCAAACAGG
This 253-nucleotide ribosomal RNA is filed under the name uncultured bacterium. RNAcentral describes it as "partial 16S ribosomal RNA". It matches the Rfam family "Bacterial small subunit ribosomal RNA", at positions 524 to 776 of the family's 1533-position model. The record is from RNAcentral.